CAACAGCGUAUAUUAAAGUUGCUGCAGUUAAAACGCUCGUAGUUGUUGUCCAACCAUACGCCAUCUUCUUCAACGAAGAGGGUCCAUUGGUUUAGUAGAAACCUUUGGCUUCUACCAAAACCUUGAGGAAAGAUUAGUGUUCCAAGCAGUUGUCUAUUGUCCUCGCCAGCAUGGUAUUCAACCAUAUUGAAGAAGAUUUUGUCGAGUCUUCUUCUGACUAAAUAGAAAUUCAAGGGGGUAUACGUACUCCAAUGUCAGAGGUGAAAUUCAUUGAUUUUUGGAAGACGAUCAAUUGCGAAAGCAUUAACCAAGCGAUUAUUCUUUA
This 325-nucleotide ribosomal RNA is filed under the name uncultured eukaryote. RNAcentral's name for it is "partial 18S ribosomal RNA". It matches the Rfam family "Eukaryotic small subunit ribosomal RNA", at positions 592 to 975 of the family's 1831-position model. The record is from RNAcentral.